This is an RNA transcript of Pseudophryne corroboree (corroboree frog), 976 nucleotides long. It is a transcript of the gene named putative defense protein 3, with no coding region annotated. NCBI's taxonomy places the organism in Eukaryota, Metazoa, Chordata, Amphibia, Anura, Myobatrachidae. The transcript is spliced from 3 exons. The record is from RefSeq and is a predicted model, not a curated record.
CUCCUCCUUAUGUCUAGUGUCACCCCCUUCCCCUCUCAUGUGCACAGGUCAUGUGUCCCUCCUCCCCCUCAUGUCCCGUGACACCCCCUCCCCCCUCAUGUCCCCAGCUCCUGUGUCCAUUCUCCCCUCUCCUCAUGUCUAGUUUCCCCCCCUUCCCCUCUCAUGUGCACAGGUCAUGUGUCCCUCCUCCCCCUCAUGUCCCGUGACACCCCCUCGCCCCUCAUGUCCCCAGCUCCUGUGUCCAUUCUCCCGUCUCCCCCUUAUGUCUAGUGUCACCCCCUUCCACUCUCAUGUGCACAGGUUAUGUGUCCCUCCUUCCCCUCAUGUCCGGUGACACCCCCUCCCCCCUCAUGUCCCCAGCUCCUGUGUCCAUUCUCCCCUCUCCUCCUUAUGUCUAGUGUCACCCCCUUCCACUCUCAUGUGCACAGGUUAUGUGUCCCUCCUCCCCCUCAUGUCCCGUGACAGCCCCUCCCCCCUCAUGUCCCCAGCUCCUGUGUCCAUUCUCCCCUCUCCUCCUUAUGUCUAGUGUCACCCCCUUCCCCUCUCAUGUGCACAGGUCAUGUGUCCUCCUCCCCCUCAUGUCCCGUGAGUGACAGCCCCCCCCCCUCAUGUGCCCAGGUCAUGUGUCCCUCCACCCCCUCCUCCUUCAUGUGCCCAGGACCGGUCCUGUGUCAUUCCACCUCAUGUUCCCAAGUCCUGUAUCCCUCCUCUCCACCCACCCCACUCAUGCCCCAAGGUCUUGUGUCCCUUUCCCCCAUCAUGUGCCCAGAUCUUGUGUCACAGCUUCACCAACUCAUCCAUCCCUGCAACUCUUUGUGGAAGCAUGGGCAACCAACAGGAGACCCACUAUCAGCAGAGAGUCCCUGAGCAGCAUCAUAUGGACUCAGAGCAACAGUAGCAGAGUCUUUUGAUGUAUACUGGCUUGGAAUCCGCUCCGCUGUUAUAUAUAAUGCACAGUCAGCCGAAGUGUGCAGCA